GAUGAACGCUGGCGGCGCGCCUAAUACAUGCAAGUCGAGCGAACAGACGAGGAGCUUGCUCCUCUGACGUUAGCGGCGGACGGGUGAGUAACACGUGGAUAACCUACCUAUCAGACUGGGAUAACUUCGGGAAACCGGAGCUAAUACCGGAUAAUAUAUUGAACCGCAUGGUUCAAUAGUGAAAGACGGUUUUGCUGUCACUUAUCGAUGGAUCCGCGCCGCAUUAGCUAGUUGGUAAGGUAACGGCUUACCAAGGCAACGAUGCGUAGCCGACCUGAGAGGGGGAUCGGCGACAUUGGAGCUGAGACACGGUCCAGACUCCUACGAGAGGCAGCAGUAGGGAAUCUUCCGCAAUGGGCGAAAGCCUGACGGAGCAACGCCGCGUGAGUGAUGAAGGUCUUCGGAUCGUAAAACUCUGUUAUUAGGGAAGAACAAAUGUGUAAGUAACUAUGCACGUCUUGACGGUACCUAAUCAGAAAGCCACGGCUAACUACGUG
This 497-nucleotide ribosomal RNA is filed under the name uncultured bacterium. RNAcentral's name for it is "partial 16S ribosomal RNA". It matches the Rfam family "Bacterial small subunit ribosomal RNA", at positions 28 to 507 of the family's 1533-position model. The record is from RNAcentral.